GUACUUGAUUUGGCAGUGCAUAUAUUAAAAUUGGAACUAUACAGAGUAGAUUAGCAUGGCUCAUACUCAAGAAUGAAUUGCAAAAUCGUGAUGCUUUCCUUAUUUAU
Achroia grisella is the source of this 107-nucleotide small nuclear RNA. The record is from RefSeq and is a predicted model, not a curated record. Lineage: Eukaryota; Metazoa; Arthropoda; Insecta; Lepidoptera; Pyralidae.